GCCGCCCCUCCCCAGGAUGCCGUCGUGCCCCUGGCCGACACUCCGCCGCUGGCCAUCGGGCCUGCCGGAUCGCCACGCCGCCCCACCUCCCUCCCAGCUCUGGCUACCAACCCCGACCCCCGGCGACCUCCUUCUGUGCCGCGACGGCUGGAUCCACCCUCCCCCUCCCCGGCAGCCACGGCUCGCCCGCUAGCUCACGGAGGCCUCCCCACCGUGGCCCGCCCCACGCUGUCGUGGCAACCUACCCUUGCCGGCUCCUCCCAUGGCGGUCGCCCCGGCGUCAUUGAUGAGGAGGGCUGACGGCGACCUCCCUCGAUCUCGUCUCCCGUCGUUGUCGCGGCGACGGAUCUGUCGUUGUGGGCGCCGGCAACUGUCGCAGCAGUGAGCCCCUUCUGCCCCCUCACCCAUUCUCCUCCGCUACGGAUCACAAAUCAGUAGCCUUCGGGCAGGACGACGACGUUGACGCCUCCUGGACAAGUUAAGGGAUGACAGGCGUGUGUGCAAUCAGUUGGAACAAUGCAUAUGCAUCAAUGAGCCAUCAAUCUUCAGCAACGGAUUGGAUGCUCAUUGUGGAUAUGUAGCCAGUCCUCGUGUUGUUCUUCUUCGUGCAAAAUUCACCAACAAUGAAGUGCAGGUUACUCCUCGAGGCAGGUCAUUUCCAUCCUCGGUGCAGUUAACUGGCGUGCAAUUUUGUUAGUGAGGGGAAGCGGUUCUGCAACUUGCAUGCGCCAUUUCACCGGAAGGAGUCCACUUCUCGGACAAGCAGCAGGAAUUUUUCCCGGAAACAUGACACAGCGGUACAGCUGGAUCCCAUGGAGGUUCAGAUUCUUAUUUCAGCGUUCAUAUUUGCAGUGCAUUGCUUGUUUGUCGAACAAAAAAAUGGCUAUUCAUUCUGGCGCUUUUCUCUUGCAUUCAAAAACUUGUUAUGGCUUAAGGAGUGCAGUUAAUUGUUGGGUGUUGUACUCUUGACUUUGUUGUGUAGUGCAGUUCAUUUGUAGGCAUAGGCGAACAACAAAAAUGACAACUAAAACAACAGGAAAAACACACAGAAAAGACAUGCAGUCCGCUCGUCUAGUCCUUGUGGUUCAUUGCUAGCAAAAAUCUUUUAUAUUGUGUUUGUUGCGGUUCACUUGUACCUCGCGUGGGUAUAUUGAAAAAUGUUUUUAUCAGUUUUGGUGGGCCUGGAGGUUCACUCCAUAAAAUAAUGCAGCUCGCUUUGUAAUAUUUUCUAUAGCAACAACGGUGCACAAUGAUGCUGUGCGGCUGGUACCGACAUGCGGUUCAAUGUGAUGUUUUUAAAAUUCA
Molecule: long non-coding RNA, 1305 nt
Organism: Triticum aestivum (bread wheat)
Lineage: Eukaryota; Viridiplantae; Streptophyta; Magnoliopsida; Poales; Poaceae
Exons: 2
Source: RefSeq, a predicted model, not a curated record